This 540-nucleotide ribosomal RNA is filed under the name uncultured bacterium. Its description in RNAcentral is "partial 16S ribosomal RNA". It matches the Rfam family "Bacterial small subunit ribosomal RNA", at positions 355 to 887 of the family's 1533-position model. The record is from RNAcentral.
UGGGGAAUUUUGGGACAAUGGGGGGAAACCCUGAUCCAGCCAUCCCGCGUGUGCGAUGAAGGCCUUCGGGUUGUAAGCACUUUUGGCAGGAAAGAAACGUCGCGGGUUAAUACCCCGCGAAACUGACGGUACCUGCAGAAUAAGCACCGGCUAACUACGUGCCAGCAGCCGCGGUAAUACGUAGGGUGCAAGCGUUAAUCGGAAUUACUGGGCGUAAAGCGUGCGCAGGCGGUUCGGAAAGAAAGAUGUGAAAUCCCAGAGCUUAACUUUGGAACUGCAUUUUUAACUACCGGGCUAGAGUGUGUCAGAGGGAGGUGGAAUUCCGCGUGUAGCAGUGAAAUGCGUAGAUAUGCGGAGGAACACCGAUGGCGAAGGCAGCCUCCUGGGAUAACACUGACGCUCAUGCACGAAAGCGUGGGGAGCAAACAGGAUUAGAUACCCUGGUAGUCCACGCCCUAAACGAUGUCAACUAGCUGUUGGGGCCUUCGGGCCUUGGUAGCGCAGCUAACGCGUGAAGUUGACCGCCUAGGGAGUACGGUC